RNAcentral lists this transfer RNA (65 nucleotides) under Homola orientalis. RNAcentral's name for it is "tRNA-Arg". Lineage: Eukaryota; Metazoa; Arthropoda; Malacostraca; Decapoda; Homolidae. The record is from RNAcentral.
AAAUUAGAAAGCGAAAAAUUGCAUUUAGUUUCGACCUAAAUUUGGGUAGUAUUACCUCUAAUUUU